UAGGGAAUCUUCGGCAAUGGACGGAAGUCUGACCGAGCAACGCCGCGUGAGUGAAGAAGGUUUUCGGAUCGUAAAGCUCUGUUGUUAGGGAAGAACGUUGGUAGGAGUGGAAAAUCUACCAAGUGACGGUAACUAACCAGAAAGGGACGGCUAACUACGUGCCAGCAGCCGCGGUAAUACGUAGGUCCCGAGCGUUGUCCGGAUUUAUUGGGCGUAAAGCGAGCGCAGGCGGUUCUUUAAGUCUGAAGUUAAAGGCAGUGGCUUAACCAUUGUACGCUUUGGAAACUGGAGGACUUGAGUGCAGAAGGGGAGAGUGGAAUUCCAUGUGUAGCGGUGAAUUGCGUAGAUAUAUGGAGGAACACCGGUGGCGAAAGCGGCUCUCUGGUCUGUAACUGACGCUGAGGCUCGAAAGCGUGGGGAGCAAACAGG
This 429-nucleotide ribosomal RNA is filed under the name Bacillota bacterium. RNAcentral describes it as "Firmicutes bacterium partial 16S ribosomal RNA". It matches the Rfam family "Bacterial small subunit ribosomal RNA", at positions 355 to 776 of the family's 1533-position model. Lineage: Bacteria; Bacillati; Bacillota. The record is from RNAcentral.